UAGCAUUUUAUUCAUCAAAUCUUUGAUCUUUCCACAGACAUAAUUAUCCAUUUAUUGUCCGGCCCUGUUUUGACUUACUUCAUUGCUACAUAUAUCUCGAUCUACAAUGGUAUAACAUGCAAAACAUUCCUGGCUAGCUAGAUUCGAAACAUAUGCCCUCCAGUCGAGUUGCUGGCUAUCAGCGCAGUAAACAAGCUCUUGCACCAUAACUCAAGAACUGCCAACUUAUUCCUUUGUACGACCUCCUGCAGGGCUCUUGCUCCACAGGGCUUGACCAUCUAUAGCAGUGAGGUAUGGAUCAUCAAGGCGUUUCCAUGUUUUGAUU
RNAcentral lists this unclassified non-coding RNA (325 nucleotides) under Hevea brasiliensis (rubber tree). The record is from RNAcentral. Lineage: Eukaryota; Viridiplantae; Streptophyta; Magnoliopsida; Malpighiales; Euphorbiaceae.